UAACACGUGGGUAACCUGCCCAUCAGAGGGGGAUAACAUUCGGAAACGGAUGCUAAAAACCGCAUAGGUCCUUUAACCGCAUGGUUGAAGGAGGAAAAGAGGCGCAAGCUUCUGCUGAUGGAUGGACCCGCGGUGCAUUAGCUAGUUGGUGAGGUAACGGCUCACCAAGGCCGUGAUGCAUAGCCGACCUGAGAGGGUGAUCGGCCACAUUGGGACUGAGACACGGCCCAA
Molecule: ribosomal RNA, 231 nt
Filed under: uncultured bacterium
Lineage: Bacteria
Description: partial 16S ribosomal RNA
Rfam family: Bacterial small subunit ribosomal RNA
Source: RNAcentral